This 582-nucleotide long non-coding RNA is filed under the name Homo sapiens (human). RNAcentral's name for it is "HSALNT0135260". Lineage: Eukaryota; Metazoa; Chordata; Mammalia; Primates; Hominidae. The record is from RNAcentral.
GUUCGCAUUUUAAUGGCAAUCCUUGAAAACCUAAAAGCCUUAGAAACUAGAAGAAAUCAAUGUUUAAUGAUGGAACUUGAAACAUUAUGACAAAGGAGAAGGAGCUGAAAGGAAUUUUUAGACAUCACUGAGUGCAACCAAUUCAUCUUCUGCAUGAGCAAACAUAGAAGGAGAGAGAGAAAUGACAGGUGUCACACUACAGCCCCAGAUUUCCUAACACAAACUCCAGGAAAAGAAUCAUAUUGACUCACCUAGUAAUCUACCAAGCCCUGUCAGAGGCUAUGGACCUUCCUAUUCCACUUUUCAACGCCUGUCAAAGAUGACAAAGAUGACAAACAAGUGCUUCAUUUAGCACCAAUUUAUCAGUGGAAAAGGGGAUUUGAUGACUUCAUGUUCGUGGAUGGCGAUGUACCAUGCUUCCACACCGGAGGGAGGCAAAACCUCAAAACCUUGGCAUUUCUAUGCAUGAUUUUAACAGCUUGAGUUAUAUAAAUGCUUUUUGCUGUAGGAAAAAAAAAAAAAAAGCCAGGCAUCAACAAAAACACCUUCCACAAAAUGACUAGGUAAUAAAGAUUAAGAAUA